ACUCCUACGGGAGGCAGCAGUGGGGAAUUUUGCGCAAUGGGGGAAACCCUGACGCAGCAACGCCGCGUGGAGGAUGAAGUCCUUCGGGACGUAAACUCCUUUCGAUCGGGACGAUUAUGACGGUACCGGAAGAAGAAGCCCCGGCUAACUUCGUGCCAGCAGCCGCGGUAAUACGAGGGGGGCGAGCGUUGUUCGGAAUUAUUGGGCGUAAAGGGUGCGUAGGCGGUUUGGUAAGUCUGAUGUGAAAUCUAUGGGCUCAACUCAUAGUCUGCAUCGGAAACUGCCGGGCUUGAGUGUGGGAGAGGUGAGUGGAAUUCCUGGUGUAGCGGUGAAAUGCGUAGAUAUCAGGAGGAACACCUGUGGCGAAAGCGGCUCACUGGACCACAACUGACGCUGAUGCACGAAAGCUAGGGGAGCAAACAGGAUUAGAUACCCUGGUAGUCCUAGCCCUAAACGAUGACUGCUUGGUGUGACGGGUACCCAAUCCCGCCGUGCCGUAGCUAACGCGUUAAGCAGUCCGCCUGGGGAGUACGGUCGCAAGGCUGAAACUUAAAGGAAUUGACG
Molecule: ribosomal RNA, 564 nt
Filed under: uncultured Acidobacteriota bacterium
Lineage: Bacteria; Pseudomonadati; Acidobacteriota
Description: bacterial SSU rRNA
Rfam family: Bacterial small subunit ribosomal RNA
Source: RNAcentral